This 253-nucleotide unclassified non-coding RNA is filed under the name uncultured Sphingomonadaceae bacterium. RNAcentral's name for it is "contains 16S-23S intergenic spacer region". It matches the Rfam family "Bacterial small subunit ribosomal RNA", at positions 524 to 776 of the family's 1533-position model. Lineage: Bacteria; Pseudomonadati; Pseudomonadota; Alphaproteobacteria; Sphingomonadales; Sphingomonadaceae. The record is from RNAcentral.
UACGGAGGGGGCUAGCGUUGUUCGGAAUUACUGGGCGUAAAGCGCACGUAGGCGGCCCAUCAAGUCAGAGGUGAAAGCCCGGAGCUCAACUCCGGAAUUGCCUUUGAGACUGAAGGGCUAGCAGGUGAGAGAGGUGAGUGGAAUUCCGAGUGUAGAGGUGAAAUUCGUAGAUAUUCGGAAGAACACCAGUGGCGAAGGCGGCUCACUGGCUCAUACUGGACGCUGAGGUGCGAAAGCGUGGGGAGCAAACAGG